GCAGCGGUGGUUCGGCGGUAGAAUUGUUGCCUUCCGUGCAGGAGACCUGGGUUCCAUUCCCAACCAAUGCA
RNAcentral lists this transfer RNA (71 nucleotides) under Loxodonta africana (African savanna elephant). It matches the Rfam family "tRNA". Rfam says of the family: Transfer RNA (tRNA) molecules are approximately 80 nucleotides in length. Their secondary structure includes four short double-helical elements and three loops (D, anti-codon, and T loops). Lineage: Eukaryota; Metazoa; Chordata; Mammalia; Proboscidea; Elephantidae. The record is from Rfam by way of RNAcentral.